This 788-nucleotide long non-coding RNA is filed under the name Salvia miltiorrhiza (redroot sage). RNAcentral's name for it is "long non-coding RNA (SMIL_LNC006047)". Lineage: Eukaryota; Viridiplantae; Streptophyta; Magnoliopsida; Lamiales; Lamiaceae. The record is from RNAcentral.
UUCAGUUGUACCAAGGAGAAGUGAUGCGCUGGCGCCGCCCAUCCAGAAGGAAACCUCAACCGAACCCGACACUCUCCCGAGAAAACCUCCGCCCGCUCCUAAGCGGGUUAUUCUGCCAUCAAUCAGUGCCCCGGAGCAUAACAUCCUAAAAUUGCUCGACGAGUGCAAUGCAUCUGGAAUACAAAGCUGCGACAACUGAUCACAAUUCACAAUCUCUUUUGCAGAAUAGCUGUACAAAGGGCUCGAUGAUCUUUUCUCUAGUAACCUCUCCCCUUUCCUUAUAUCACAAUCAGUUCCACGUCAUUUCAUCGUCAUUUUUCAAUAGCGAAACACACCUCUAAAUUUUCUGUCUCAACUAAUGGUUGCUGCAUCUGAAGCUACAAGUUACAGACAGCUCAGGAGUUUACAGAGGCACAAGCACACAUCACGGUUGCUCGACUUUGGGAUCGAUGAGGCAUUUUUGGUGCCUUCGGUAAGUUCAAAGGUUCAUACAUCGCGCCCUCUACGAGCACGACGAGCGCCUGUGGUGGGCUGAAAAUCAACAGCAAAAACAAGAGAGGUGAUCAAAUGGCCUUUUGAAGGUGGAGAGUGGCCUCUUUUAUCGAUUUGCUUUCUUGGUUAGGUCCUUUGGUAUAGUUGCCGUGAUUUUGUGCGUUACGAUUUCUUUUCUUUUUCUGUGCAAUCGGAUUAAAGUAUAUUUCAUAAUGAUUUUAUAACAAUAAUUUAUUCGAUCUCGGAUCAGUUUCACACUAACUUUAUGUGAUCUCAUAACUACACAUGAAUCAAAU